This 72-nucleotide transfer RNA is filed under the name Candidatus Woesebacteria bacterium. RNAcentral describes it as "tRNA-Glu". It matches the Rfam family "tRNA". Rfam says of the family: Transfer RNA (tRNA) molecules are approximately 80 nucleotides in length. RNAcentral also lists the same sequence under 1 other name. The record is from RNAcentral. Lineage: Bacteria; Candidatus Woeseibacteriota.
GGCCCUAUCGUCUAGCGGUUAGGACAGCGGAUUCUCAUUCCGCUAACCGGGGUUCGAGUCCCCGUAGGGUCA